GCACUAUAGCGGAAUACGCAAAAAGAUGCAAACUAGAUAGCAACAGAAUAGACCUCACUCGGAAUGAUAGCUAAAAUACGUAAAAAGGUGUACAAAGUAAACAAGAGAGUGGGAGGUACCAACUCCCGGUGGAAAAACCUGAAAGUAGGCUUUGAUGCGCCCAAGGUCAACUCCUACCGACUCUUGCACGUCCCGGCCGGUGCUGCUUAGCU
RNAcentral lists this long non-coding RNA (212 nucleotides) under Nicotiana benthamiana. RNAcentral describes it as "long non-coding RNA (NBEN_LNC007233)". Lineage: Eukaryota; Viridiplantae; Streptophyta; Magnoliopsida; Solanales; Solanaceae. The record is from RNAcentral.